Molecule: transfer RNA, 66 nt
Filed under: Pareronia hippia
Lineage: Eukaryota; Metazoa; Arthropoda; Insecta; Lepidoptera; Pieridae
Description: tRNA-Ala
Rfam family: tRNA
About the family: Transfer RNA (tRNA) molecules are approximately 80 nucleotides in length. Their secondary structure includes four short double-helical elements and three loops (D, anti-codon, and T loops).
Source: RNAcentral
AGGAUAAUAGUUUAAAAAAAACAUUUGAUUUGCAAUCAAAAAAUAUUAUUUUAAUAAUUUUUCUUA